UGCAAGUCGAGCGGUAACAGAUCCAGCUUGCUGGAUGCUGACGAGCGGCGGACGGGUGAGUAAUGCAUAGGAAUCUGCCCGAUAGUGGGGGAUAACCUGGGGAAACCCAGGCUAAUACCGCAUACGUCCUACGGGAGAAAGGGGGCUUCGGCUCCCGCUAUCGGAUGAGCCUAUGUCGGAUUAGCUAGUUGGUGAGGUAACGGCUCACCAAGGCCACGAUCCGUAGCUGGUCUGAGAGGAUGAUCAGCCACAUCGGGACUGAGACACGGCCCGAACUCCUACGGGAGGCAGCAGUGGGGAAUAUUGGACAAUGGGGGGAACCCUGAUCCAGCCAUGCCGCGUGUGUGAAGAAGGCCCUCGGGUUGUAAAGCACUUUCAGCGAGGAAGAACGCCUAGCGGUUAAUACCCGCUAGGAAAGACAUCACUCGCAGAAGAAGCACCGGCUAACUCCGUGCCAGCAGCCGCGGUAAUACGGAGGGUGCAAGCGUUAAUCGGAAUUACUGGGCGUAAAGCGCGCGUAGGUGGCUUGAUAAGCCGGUUGUGAAAGCCCCGGGCUCAACCUGGGAACGGCAUCCGGAACUGUCAAGCUAGAGUGCAGGAGAGGAAGGUAGAAUUCCCGGUGUAGCGGUGAAAUGCGUAGAGAUCGGGAGGAAUACCAGUGGCGAAGGCGGCCUUCUGGACUGACACUGACACUGAGGUGCGAAAGCGUGGGUAGCAAACAGGAUUAGAUACCCUGGUAGUCCACGCCGUAAACGAUGUCGACCAGCCGUUGGGUGCCUAGCGCACUUUGUGGCGAAGUUAACGCGAUAAGUCGACCGCCUGGGGAGUACGGCCGCAAGGUUAAAACUCAAAUGAAUUGACGGGGGCCCGCACAAGCGGUGGAGCAUGUGGUUUAAUUCGA
This 901-nucleotide ribosomal RNA is filed under the name Vreelandella aquamarina. RNAcentral's name for it is "bacterial SSU rRNA". It matches the Rfam family "Bacterial small subunit ribosomal RNA", at positions 56 to 954 of the family's 1533-position model. Lineage: Bacteria; Pseudomonadati; Pseudomonadota; Gammaproteobacteria; Oceanospirillales; Halomonadaceae. The record is from RNAcentral.